Molecule: ribosomal RNA, 253 nt
Filed under: uncultured bacterium
Lineage: Bacteria
Description: partial 16S ribosomal RNA
Rfam family: Bacterial small subunit ribosomal RNA
Source: RNAcentral
UACGUAGGGGGCAAGCGUUGUCCGGAUUUAUUGGGCGUAAAGAGCGUGUAGGCGGCCAUACAGGUCCGUUGUGAAAACUGGAGGCUUAACCUCCAGACGUCGAUGGAAACCGUAUGGCUAGAGUCCGGAAGAGGAGAGUGGAAUUCCUGGUGUAGCGGUGAAAUGCUCAGAUAUCAGGAGGAACACCGACGGCGAAGGCAGCACUCUGGGCCGGUACUGACGCUGAGGAGCGAAAGCAUGGGGAGCGAACAGG